GACGAACGCUGGCGGCGUGCUUAACACAUGCAAGUCGAACGGAAAGGCCCUGCUUGCAGGGUACUCGAGUGGCGAACGGGUGAGUAACACGUGGGUGAUCUGCCCUGCACUUCGGGAUAAGCUUGGGGAACUGGGUCUAAUACCGGAGAGGAGCCAUCUUUAGUGUGGUGGUUGGAAAGAGUUUUUGGUGUAGGAUGAGCUCGCGGCCUAUCAGCUUGUUUGUGGGGUAAUGGCCUACCAAGGCGGCGACGGGUAGCCGGCCUGGGAGGGUGGACGGCCACCUUGGGACUGGGAUACGGGCCAGGCUCCUUCGGGGGGCAGGAGUGGGGAAUAUUGCACAAUGGGCGCAAGGCUGAUGCAGCGGCGCCGCGUGGGGGGUGAAGGCCUUCGGGUUGUAAACUCCUUUCGCUAGGGACGAAGCUUUUUUGGGGCGGUACCUAGAUAAGAAGCACCGGCUAACUACGUG
This 466-nucleotide ribosomal RNA is filed under the name uncultured bacterium. Its description in RNAcentral is "partial 16S ribosomal RNA". It matches the Rfam family "Bacterial small subunit ribosomal RNA", at positions 28 to 507 of the family's 1533-position model. The record is from RNAcentral.